RNAcentral lists this non-coding RNA (106 nucleotides) under Paraburkholderia silvatlantica. Lineage: Bacteria; Pseudomonadati; Pseudomonadota; Betaproteobacteria; Burkholderiales; Burkholderiaceae. The record is from RNAcentral.
CGCCUCAUGCCUGAAAGGGCGACGGCGUCGAGCCGGAGCGAGAAGUCAGCAGAGGCCAUAGUAGUCACAGGAUAAGCCGGUGAGGUGGAAGCUGGUGACGAAGGGC